GAACGUAGGGCUCAGCGGUAGAGCGCAUGCUUAGCAUGCAUGAGGUCCUGGGUUCAAUCCCCAGUACCUCCA
Molecule: transfer RNA, 72 nt
Filed under: Camelus bactrianus (Bactrian camel)
Lineage: Eukaryota; Metazoa; Chordata; Mammalia; Artiodactyla; Camelidae
Also listed under: 1 other name
Rfam family: tRNA
About the family: Transfer RNA (tRNA) molecules are approximately 80 nucleotides in length. Their secondary structure includes four short double-helical elements and three loops (D, anti-codon, and T loops).
Source: Rfam by way of RNAcentral